GGAAUCUUCGGCAAUGGGGGCAACCUUGACCGAGCAACGCCGCGUGAGUGAAGAAGGUUUUCGGAUCGUAAAGCUCUGUUGUAAGAGAAGAACGUGUGUGAGAGUGGAAAGUUCACACAGUGACGGUAACUUACCAGAAAGGGACGGCUAACUACGUGCCNG
This 162-nucleotide ribosomal RNA is filed under the name uncultured bacterium. RNAcentral describes it as "partial 16S rRNA". It matches the Rfam family "Bacterial small subunit ribosomal RNA", at positions 358 to 511 of the family's 1533-position model. The record is from RNAcentral.